This is a non-coding RNA of Heterocephalus glaber (naked mole-rat), 600 nucleotides long. NCBI's taxonomy places the organism in Eukaryota, Metazoa, Chordata, Mammalia, Rodentia, Bathyergidae. The record is from RefSeq and is a predicted model, not a curated record.
CGUCGCUCCCUAGUGACGUCACGGGGCGGCGCCGCGCGGCUCUGCGUCCUCUCUCUGGACCGGGCCGGGAAAGAGGACGUGGGACCUGUUCGCGACCUGUGGGUGACCUAGGAGGGGUUUGUACCUGUGUGGCAGUGACGCCCACUACAACAUCUCUCAUUGUGACAACUAAAGCUCAAGUUCAGGAAAAACACAAGGAAACAACCACCAGGCCCCUCAGGGCUCUGCAGAAGAAACCAGAGCAGAUGGAUGGAGGAGGUGGCUUUAAUGGGGAAGGGGUCCGCUGGUUUUUACUUUCUCUUUUCUCAUGCAACUUUGCCCCACGUGGGCCUCAGCUUCUGAACUGCAGAGCAAAACACAGUUAAGCCUCUGACAAACCCUGUCUUUCUGGCCAGAGGAAUAGGGAAAGGGGCCCUGAGUCUAGAAAGAGUUUGUCCUAGAGAGCUGCAGAAAGAGACCCUGUCUUUCUAUGUAAGAACCAACAGGAGACCCCCCUCACCCCUGAGUUACCCCCACCCCACCCCAGACAGACUCAAAGAAGCAGCAUAAAAAGACUUCGGGGGGAAAAAAAAGACCUCCAAAGUGGAAUUUAGGCAGAAA